RNAcentral lists this ribosomal RNA (278 nucleotides) under uncultured bacterium. RNAcentral's name for it is "partial 16S ribosomal RNA". It matches the Rfam family "Bacterial small subunit ribosomal RNA", at positions 506 to 784 of the family's 1533-position model. The record is from RNAcentral.
UGCCAGCCGCCGCGGUAAUACGGAGGGUGCAAGCGUUAUCCGGAAUCACUGGGCGUAAAGGGAGCGUAGGCGGUUUUGCAAGUCAGAAGUGUAAGGCUACGGCUCAACCGUAGUAAGCUUUCGAAACUGCAAGACUAGAGUGCAGGAGAGGCAAGUGGAAUUCCUAGUGUAGAGGUGAAAUUCGUAGAUAUUCGGAGGAACACCAGUGGCGAAGGCGGCUCACUGGCUCGAUACUGACGCUGAGGUACGAAAGUGUGGGGAGCAAACAGGAUUAGAUA